This 247-nucleotide long non-coding RNA is filed under the name Elaeis guineensis (African oil palm). Its description in RNAcentral is "long non-coding RNA (EGUI_LNC078931)". Lineage: Eukaryota; Viridiplantae; Streptophyta; Magnoliopsida; Arecales; Arecaceae. The record is from RNAcentral.
UGGCAAGUCACGACAACGGACACCACUCUACUCUUCGGGCUCCACCACUCUCUGGCAGGUCGCUAUAAUGGACACCACUCUACUCUCCAUAACAAACUCCACAUGGCCCUGAACGGCCCCUGACGCCACUACUCUCCGUAACAAACUCCGCGUGGCUCUGAACGGCCCACUACCAGGUGGUUACAGACGUCACUAUCAAUCAAUUACGCUCUCCAUCUAUAAAAAGGGACCCCUAGAUACGUUCUUC